AUAGGGAGUCGGACCUGCCCAGUGAAUAAUUUUUAAACGGCCGCGGUACUCUGACCGUGCAAAGGUAGCAUAAUCAUUUGCCCUAUAAUUGAGGGCUAGUAUGAAUGGUUUGACAAGAAUAAAACUGUCUCUAUAUAAUUUUAUAGAAUUUUAUUUUUAGGUGAAGAAGCCUAAAUACUAUUAAAAGACAAGAAGACCCUAUCGAGCUUGAAAAGAAUUAACAAGUUAAUGUAUAUAUUGAUAAAACAAUAUUUGUUUAAAAUUUUGGUUGGGGCGACUAAGGAACAUUCAAAGCUUCUUUAAUAUAAAAUAACUACAAACAAGUAAAGAUCCAAAAUAAUUUUGAUUAAAGGAAUUAGUUACCGUAGGGAUAACAGCAUUAUCUUUUUUGAGAGCUCAUAUCGAAAAAAAGGUUUGUGACCUCGAUGUUGGACCAGAAUAUCCUAAAGAUGCAGAAGUCUUUAAGGGUUGGUCUGUUCGACCAUUAAAAUUCUA
Molecule: ribosomal RNA, 495 nt
Filed under: Gyrineum lacunatum
Lineage: Eukaryota; Metazoa; Mollusca; Gastropoda; Littorinimorpha; Ranellidae
Description: partial 16S ribosomal RNA
Rfam family: Bacterial large subunit ribosomal RNA
Source: RNAcentral